GGCGAACGGGUGAGUAACACGUGGGUGAUCUGCCUUGCACUUCGGGAUAAGUUUGGGAAACUGGGUCUAAUACCGGAUAGGACAGCUGUUUAGUGUCAGUUGUGGAAAGUUUUUUCGGUGCAAGAUGAGCUCGCGGCCUAUCAGCUUGUUGGUGGGGUAAUGGCCUACCAAGGCGUCGACGGGUAGCCGGCCUGAGAGGGUGGACGGCACAUUGGGACUGAGAUACGGCCCAGACUCCUACGGGAGGCACAGUGGGGAAUAUUUGCACAAUGGGCGGAAGCCUGAUGCAGCGACGCCGCGUGGGGGAUGAAGGCCUUCGGGUUGUAAACUCCUUUCGACAGGGACGAAGCUUUUGUGACGGUACCUGUAUAAGAAGCACCGGCUAACUACGUGCCAGCAGCCCGGUAAUACGUAGGGUGCGAGCGUUGUCCGGAAUUACUGGGCGUAAAGAGCUCGUAGUGGUUUGUCGCGUCGUCUGUGAAAUUCCGGGGCUUAACUCCGGGCGUGCAGGCGAUACGGGCUGACUUGAGUGCUGUAGGGGAGACUGGAAUUCCUGGUGUAGCGGUGAAAUGCGCAGAUAUCAGGAGGAACACCGAUGGCGAAGGCAGGUCUCUGGGCAGUAACUGACGCUGAGGAGCGAAAGCAUGGGUAGCGAACAGGAUUAGAUACCUGGUAGUCCAUGCCGUAAACGGUGGGCGCUAGGUGUAGGGGGCUUCCACGUCUUCUGUGCCGUAGCUAACGCAUUAAGCGCCCCGCCUGGGGAGUACGCCGCAAGGCUA
RNAcentral lists this ribosomal RNA (779 nucleotides) under uncultured Actinomycetes bacterium. RNAcentral's name for it is "bacterial SSU rRNA". It matches the Rfam family "Bacterial small subunit ribosomal RNA", at positions 97 to 896 of the family's 1533-position model. The record is from RNAcentral. Lineage: Bacteria; Bacillati; Actinomycetota; Actinomycetes.